Molecule: ribosomal RNA, 492 nt
Filed under: uncultured bacterium
Lineage: Bacteria
Description: partial 16S ribosomal RNA
Rfam family: Bacterial small subunit ribosomal RNA
Source: RNAcentral
GGUGAACGCUGGCGGUAGGCCUAACACAUACAAGUCGAACGGCAGCACAGUAAGAGCUUGCUCUUACGGGUGGCGAGUGGCGGACGGGUGAGGAAUACAUCGGAAUCUACUUUUUCGUGGGGGAUAACGUAGGGAAACUUACGCUAAUACCGCAUACUACCUACGGGUGAAAGCAGGGGAUCUUCGGACCUUGCGCGAUUGAAUGAGCCGAUGUCGGAUUAGCUAGUUGGCGGGGUAAAGGCCCACCAAGGCGACGAUCCGUAGCUGGUCUGAGAGGAUGAUCAGCCACACUGGAACUGAGACACGGUCCAGACUCCUACGGGAGGCAGCAGUGGGGAAUAUUGGACAAUGGGCGGAAGCCUGAUCCAGCCAUACCGCGUGGGUGAAGAAGGCCUUCGGGUUGUAAAGCCCUUUUGUUGGGAAAGAAAAGCAGCAGGUUAAUACCCCGCUGUUCUGACGGUACCCAAAGAAUAAGCACCGGCUAACUUCGUG